RNAcentral lists this ribosomal RNA (492 nucleotides) under uncultured bacterium. Its description in RNAcentral is "partial 16S ribosomal RNA". It matches the Rfam family "Bacterial small subunit ribosomal RNA", at positions 29 to 507 of the family's 1533-position model. The record is from RNAcentral.
AGUGAACGCUGGCGGUAGGCCUAACACAUGCAAGUCGAACGGCAGCACAGUAAGAGCUUGCUCUUACGGGUGGCGAGUGGCGGACGGGUGAGGAAUACAUCGGAAUCUACUUUUUCGUGGGGGAUAACGUAGGGAAACUUACGCUAAUACCGCAUACGACCUACGGGUGAAAGCAGGGGAUCUUCGGACCUUGCGCGAUUGAAUGAGCCGAUGUCGGAUUAGCUAGUUGGCGGGGUAAAGGCCCACCAAGGCGACGAUCCGUAGCUGGUCUGAGAGGAUGAUCAGCCACACUGGCACUGAGACACGGUCCAGACUCCUACGGGAGGCAGCAGUGGGGAAUAUUGGACAAUGGGCGCAAGCCUGAUCCAGCCAUACCGCGUGGGUGAAGAAGGCCUUCGGGUUGUAAAGCCCUUUUGUUGGGAAAGAAAGGCAGCAGGUUAAUACCCCGCUGUUCUGACGGUACCCAAAGAAUAAGCACCGGCUAACUUCGUG